UUUAAUUCGAAGCAACGCGAAGAACCUUACCAAAUCUUGACAUCCUUUGAAAACUCUAGAGAUAGAGCCUUCCCCUUCGGGGGACAAAGUGACAGGUGGUGCAUGGUUGUCGUCAGCUCGUGUCGUGAGGUGUUGGGUUAAGUCCCGCAACGAGCGCAACCCUUAAACUUAGUUGCCAGCAUUUAGUUGGGCACUCUAGGUUGACUGCCGGUGACAAACCGGAGGAAGGUGGGGAUGACGUCAAAUCAUCAUGCCCCUUAUGAUUUGGGCUACACACGUGCUACAAUGGACAAUACAAAGGGCAGCUAAACCGCGAGGUCAUGCAAAUCCCAUAAAGUUGUUCUCAGUUCGGAUUGUAGUCUGCAACUCGACUACAUGAAGCUGGAAUCGCUAGUAAUCGUAGAUCAGCAUGCUA
Molecule: ribosomal RNA, 415 nt
Filed under: uncultured bacterium
Lineage: Bacteria
Description: bacterial SSU rRNA
Rfam family: Bacterial small subunit ribosomal RNA
Source: RNAcentral